Molecule: non-coding RNA, 1397 nt
Organism: Podarcis lilfordi (Lilford's wall lizard)
Lineage: Eukaryota; Metazoa; Chordata; Lepidosauria; Squamata; Lacertidae
Source: the annotation of a GenBank genome assembly
CUCUUCCCCAAAAACACCAUUUGGUCCAAAAAAAAUAAAAAAACUCAACAACUUCGGGCAAAAGAGAGAGAAAAGAAAUCAACAAAUAUGGCGACCCUAGUAGUUCCUCUUCAGAGAACCCAAGAGCAUUUCUCCUUGUUCCCCACGCAGAGUCUGCUUGUUCAGACAGAGCCAAAGAGACCUUUUUAAAAACCAUUCCCAAUUCUGGGAAGGCGCAAUCCUAGGAGGAGCAGGUGUAGGCAAGGGGGGGCCUUCGGAGAUCAGGGAAGCCACAGUCACUCCCCAUGCAGAGGGAGCCAGCACCUAGUCACGGAAACCACGUCUGCACAGCUGCUCCCAGUGGGUGACCUAGCUCUGAUCAGGCUGCAGUGAAAGGUUUAGGUCUGGAAGAUCUCAGGGGUUCCCAGCUCAUCACUUUCCUCCCCCCAAACAAUGGCAGGAAUCUUGAUGGUGUCCUGGAUGCUGAGGAGCAGGUCACAUUCAUCCAAGCAUUCUCUGGGACUAUCACUGAAGAAGAGAUUGCAGAGCUCAUGGCGGAUGGUGACCUAGACCUUGAUGGUUUGAUUGACUUUGAUGGUGAGCGGCUCAGCCCCGCCUGACCUUCUUGGGAGCUGGAGGGGGGAUGUCAGGACAGCUCUGUGCCCCUUCUGCCAGCCCCUCAAGCCCCUCUAGCCCCACAGGCUCCCUGUGCCACUCAGCAGGGACCACGAGACUUGCAGCCUCCUGACUUCCGGGGAAGGGAAGAUGGCAGGCUGGUCCUCUUUCGUCGGCUGUCUGCCAAAUGAAAUAGCAAGUGGCAUUUGAUGACAGCUAGCCUCUAGUCUGUGGGAAGAAUAGUUUACAAUCCAAAAGGGUUUCUGCACCUGUCAGCAAAAAUCCACAUUUGGAUAGUCAGCUGCUUUCUGGUUUUAAGGAGAAAAGAAGGAAAGUUGAUGUUUAAAGGGCGGGAUUUGGAACAAAAAGCUUGGUUUAUGGUUUGUGAUAAGAAAGAUUUAAACGGACAAGGGAGUUCUAUGUGUUAGGAAUUAGUGGGUUAAUUUUCAUCUCUUUUUGAUGAAAGUGCUCUCUAGAAAGCAAAACUAACAUUUCAAACUGAAAUUUCCUCCCUGGGAAAAGGAGUUGUUUACUUUAAAUGAAAACAGGGGGCAAGAAGAAAAGGGGAACCGUGGGGUGUCAGGGCUCCCUGGCCCAAUCCUGCUUACAGACUGACCCUUCUUCCAUCUUCCCCUACAGAGUUCAAGAUGUUAAUUGAGGGUUAGUUGUAGAGGGACCCAAGAAAUUCCUGCUAAGCUGGGGGCCACUGCCAGCAACCAAACCAGCCCUCUCCUGCCUCUGCUCCAGCUGCCAAGCCUUGCCUUGCCUUGCCUCGCCUUGAGUUUUGUGGAUAAUCAUCGACC